AUUAUUAUUUUUAUUGUAUGUCAUAAAAGUACAUAAACAUAAAGAAGAUAAAAACAUACAUAAAAUGGGAGAGAAAUGGUCACGGGACAAUCUUCCAAAUACUCACGAUGGAAUUUACCGAUACUGAUUCUCUGCUUUUUUUUUUUUCAAUACAUCACAGCGAGCUACUUCACAACUCCACAGCCACUUAAGUCUGAUUUUCUUCACUGUCAUGGCUAGUUAUGUUGGGUUUAGCUUUAGUACAUGGGCAAUUAGAAUUAUUUUGGCUAGUUAUGUUGGGUUUAGAUAUAGUACAUGGAAAUUGAGGAUUAUUUUGGCUAGUAAUGUUGGGUUUAGAUUUAGUACAUGGCCAUUUAGAAUUAUUUUGGCUAGUUAAGUUGGGUUUAGAUUCAGUACAUGGCUAUUUAGAAUUAUUUUGGCUAGUUAAGUUGGGUUUAGAUUCAGUACAUGGCUAUUUAGAAUUGUUUUGGCUAGUUAUGUUAGGCUUAGAUUUAGAACAUGGCAUUUUAAGAUUCUAGUUACAUUUUCAUCUGUGCUUGGACCAAAAUAUCUACAAUGAAAGGAGACACAAGGAA
Molecule: long non-coding RNA, 575 nt
Organism: Eriocheir sinensis (Chinese mitten crab)
Lineage: Eukaryota; Metazoa; Arthropoda; Malacostraca; Decapoda; Varunidae
Exons: 2
Source: RefSeq, a predicted model, not a curated record